This 490-nucleotide ribosomal RNA is filed under the name uncultured bacterium. RNAcentral describes it as "partial 16S ribosomal RNA". It matches the Rfam family "Bacterial small subunit ribosomal RNA", at positions 30 to 507 of the family's 1533-position model. The record is from RNAcentral.
AUUGAACGCUGGCGGCAGGCCUAACACAUGCAAGUCGAACGGUAACAGGAAACAGCUUGCUGUUUCGCUGACGAGUGGCGGACGGGUGAGUAAUGUCUGGGAAACUGCCUGAUGGAGGGGGAUAACUACUGGAAACGGUAGCUAAUACAGCAUAACGUCGCAAGACCAAAGAGGGGGACCUUCGGGCCUCGUGCUAUCGGAUGUGCCCUGAUGGGAUUAGCUAGUAGGUGGGGUAACGGCUCACCUAGGCGACGAUCCCUAUCUGGUCUGAGAGGAUGACCAGCCACACUGGAACUGAGACACGGUCCAGACUCCUACGGGAGGCAGCAGUGGGGUAUAUUGCACAAUGGGCGGAAGCCUGAUGCAGCCAUGCCGCGUGUAUGACGAAAGCCUUCGGGUUGUAAAGUACUUUCAGCGGGGAGGAAGGGAGUAAAGUUAAUACCUAUGCUCAUUGACGUUACCCGAAGAAGAAGCACCGGCUAACUCCGUG